GACGAACGCUGGCGGCGUGCUUAACACAUGCAAGUCGAGCGGUAAGGCCCCUUCGGGGGUACACGAGCGGCGAACGGGUGAGUAACACGUGGGUGACCUGCCCUCAGCUCUGGGAUAAGCCUGGGAAACUGGGUCUAAUACCGGAUAUGACUCCAUGACGCAUGUCGUGGGGUGGAAAGCCUUGUGCGGCUGGGGAUGGGCCCGCGGCCUAUCAGCUUGUUGGUGGGGUGAUGGCCUACCAAGGCGACGACGGGUAGCCGGCCUGAGAGGACGACCAGCCACACUGGAACUGAGAUACGGUCCAGACUCCUACGGGAGGCAGCAGUGGGGAAUAUUGCACAAUGGGCGAAAGCCUGAUGCAGCGACGCCGCGUGAGGGAUGAAGGCC
RNAcentral lists this ribosomal RNA (387 nucleotides) under uncultured bacterium. RNAcentral's name for it is "bacterial SSU rRNA". It matches the Rfam family "Bacterial small subunit ribosomal RNA", at positions 28 to 416 of the family's 1533-position model. The record is from RNAcentral.